This 429-nucleotide long non-coding RNA is filed under the name Brassica napus (rape). RNAcentral's name for it is "long non-coding RNA (BNAP_LNC017780)". The record is from RNAcentral. Lineage: Eukaryota; Viridiplantae; Streptophyta; Magnoliopsida; Brassicales; Brassicaceae.
AUGGGAAAAGGGGCUGUACCGUUCUCAUCAACGUGAAGUUCAGAACGAUCACAGAUAUCGACUAAAUCCAACCUUGACUUCAAAUUAUCCUUCAUUUUACCUUGGAUGUUAAGGACUGUGUUCAUCAGAUUGUCGAAGAAGUUCUUCUCAAUAUGCAUGACAUCUAAAUUAUGCCGCAAUAGAUGACUCUCCCAAUAUGGCAGAUCCCAGAAAAUACUCUUUUUGUGCCAGUUAUGUAGCUCUCCAACCGCACUGACUCGAAUGUUUUCAUGUCCACCUACAUCUGGCGUCCUUUCUGCAUCAAAAUACCUAAACUGCUUCAACAAAUCUUUCCCACUAACUUCCUUAGGUGGACCAUCAAACACCUGCUUGUUCUUCGUAAACGAAGUCUUACUCCUGCGGUAUGGAUGAUCAGGUGGUAGAAAUCGU